RNAcentral lists this long non-coding RNA (612 nucleotides) under Dasypus novemcinctus (nine-banded armadillo). RNAcentral describes it as "lncRNA (ENSDNOG00000052344.1)". Lineage: Eukaryota; Metazoa; Chordata; Mammalia; Cingulata; Dasypodidae. The record is from RNAcentral.
GUCAGGCCAGUCGACCUUUUGUCCAGGUGCACGUGAUGGCGUUCCCACAAGGCCAGCCUCUGCCGCCGAGGACAGCAGUGUCGUUGUUCGCUGGCCCUUUCGCAGUCCGGGGCCUGUGAGGGCAGAACCGGCCGGCCUUGGCCUUAGGGGGCAGCGGGGUUGGCGCGUCAGGCCACCGGGCCUGCCAGGCCCUUUCUUCACGAGUCUCCCCGAAACCGUGCACGGGCGUGAGAGACGCUGGGCUCCUGUCUUAGCUGGACCGCAGUCGGGCUCUCCUGACACGUCUGGACGAGGAAGCUGCCGCAGGGUCCUCCCAGCCCACGCCCCCCGUCGCCCAGCCCUGGCGUUUGCCUCAUCCCCCUCACUCGGGGAGAAUGCGGUCAGGGCACUGGAGGGGGAAGCCUGCUUCUGAGCAGUCAACAGAAAAUGAGGAAGCACGGGGAGGAACCUCUAGAGCGGACCAGGGGUAAGGCCUCGGCAGCCGGUCGAGCCCGCGUCCCCGGGACCGCAGCGAAGGAGGCUACGAGGGUCCUCGCUUCGCUCGCCGCCCGCGUUCCCGCCUCAGGGCCGCCUCGCCCCACCCUCGCCGCGCUCCUCGCCGAGCCCCGCCCC